Molecule: transfer RNA, 85 nt
Filed under: Felis catus (domestic cat)
Lineage: Eukaryota; Metazoa; Chordata; Mammalia; Carnivora; Felidae
Rfam family: tRNA
About the family: Transfer RNA (tRNA) molecules are approximately 80 nucleotides in length. Their secondary structure includes four short double-helical elements and three loops (D, anti-codon, and T loops).
Source: Rfam by way of RNAcentral
GCCUGGGUGGCUCAGUUGGUUGAGCAUCUGACUUCAGUUCAGGUCAUGAUCUCGCUGUCUGUGAGUUCAGGCCUCGCGUCGGGCU